AUAUUGUUAAAUGUUAUACCAAAAUUUAAAAUAAAACAACGCAUUCGGUAAUGCUAAUAACCUGCCAACAACAACAACAACAACAACUCCAGCAACAACAACAACAACAACACAUGCGGUGGCUAACUACUUAUAUCCUCGACCACUUAGUGUCCUCAGCUGCCCCGCCAAAAAAAAAGGAUAUACACAUAUAUGCCUAAGCCAAAUCUAAGGAAGAAGAACUCAAUCUAAAAAAAGAGAAUAAUCUACGUAGCAGCGCCUCCUCUCGACAUGUAGAGGAAGAAAUCCGUUCCGAUUGAUUCCGGUUUUUUUUUUUUUAAGUUUUGGUUUAGUUUGGUUUUGUAGUUUGUGGGUGAAAGCAGUGGCUAAAACCAAAAACUACUCGACAAACAACAACAACAACACCAAACACCCAGCCCGGCAUCCAACAAACAUUCAUUACGACGGAUUAUUAUGGAUAUACAUAUGAAAAAAUUAACAAAACCACGGUGAGUUUGCUAACUAAACCCAAGAAAUUAUUAAGCAAUGGAAAUCUUAUAUGAUUGGUACUGCAACUUUACUUUCCUUACACUACUACUUACACAUUGCAACAGCAAAAAACAACACCAACAACAAAUACUAAAACAUGAACACAAAGAAAAGCAAUAAAAGACUUUAAAAAUCAA
Drosophila willistoni is the source of this 665-nucleotide long non-coding RNA. RefSeq lists it as uncharacterized. The record is from RefSeq and is a predicted model, not a curated record. NCBI's taxonomy places the organism in Eukaryota, Metazoa, Arthropoda, Insecta, Diptera, Drosophilidae. The transcript has 3 exons.